RNAcentral lists this ribosomal RNA (512 nucleotides) under uncultured bacterium. RNAcentral describes it as "partial 16S ribosomal RNA". It matches the Rfam family "Bacterial small subunit ribosomal RNA", at positions 28 to 507 of the family's 1533-position model. The record is from RNAcentral.
GAUGGACGCUGGCGGCGUGCCUAAUACAUGCAAGUCGAACGAAACUUCUUUAUCACCGAGUGCUUGCACUCACCGAUAAAGAGUUGAGUGGCGAACGGGUGAGUAACACGUGGGCAACCUGCCCAAAAGAGGGGGAUAACACUUGGAAACAGGUGCUAAUACCGCAUAACCAUAGUUACCGCAUGGUAACUAUGUAAAAGGUGGCUAUACUACCGCUUUUGGAUGGGCCCGCGGCGCAUUAGCUAGUUGGUAGGGUAAAGGCUUACCAAGGCAAUGAUGCGUAGCCGAAUUGAGAGGUUGAUCGGCCACAUUGGGACUGAGACACGGCCCAAACUCCUACGGGAGGCAGCAGUAGGGAAUCUUCCACAAUGGGCGAAAGCCUGAUGGAGCAACGCCGCGUGGGUGAAGAAGGUCUUCGGAUCGUAAAACCCUGUUGUUAGAGAAGAAAGUGCGUGAGAGUAACUGUUCACGUUUCGACGGUAUCUAACCAGAAAGCCACGGCUAACUACGUG